GGAGGGGUCGCAUAGCGGCCGAGUGCAGAAGUCUUGAAAACUUCCAGGUGAUGAGCCUCGUGGGUUCGAAUCCCACCCCCUCCGCCA
This 87-nucleotide transfer RNA is filed under the name bacterium. Its description in RNAcentral is "tRNA-Ser". It matches the Rfam family "tRNA". Rfam says of the family: Transfer RNA (tRNA) molecules are approximately 80 nucleotides in length. Their secondary structure includes four short double-helical elements and three loops (D, anti-codon, and T loops). The record is from RNAcentral.